UGUCGUUUGGCGUGACGCUGCGCGAGCGCUUUGUGAGUGUUGAUCCGGCGCUGUUCGGCACGGUGGGUGGCAA
This 73-nucleotide transfer RNA is filed under the name Dyella flava. RNAcentral describes it as "tRNA-Thr". The record is from RNAcentral. Lineage: Bacteria; Pseudomonadati; Pseudomonadota; Gammaproteobacteria; Lysobacterales; Rhodanobacteraceae.